Molecule: ribosomal RNA, 464 nt
Filed under: uncultured bacterium
Lineage: Bacteria
Description: partial 16S ribosomal RNA
Rfam family: Bacterial small subunit ribosomal RNA
Source: RNAcentral
GAUGAACGCUGGCGGCGUGCUUAACACAUGCAGGUCGAACGGAAAGGCCCAAGCUUGCUUGGGUACUCGAGUGGCGAACGGGUGAGUAACACGUGGGUGAUCUGCCCUGCACUUCGGGAUAAGCCUGGGAAACUGGGUCUAAUACCGGAUAGGACCACAUUUUGGAUGGUGUGGUGGAAAGUUUUUCGGUGUGGGAUGAGCUCGCGGCCUAUCAGCUUGUUGGUGGGGUAAUGGCCUACCAAGGCGUCGACGGGUAGCCGGCCUGAGAGGGUGUACGGCCACAUUGGGACUGAGAUACGGCCCAGACUCCUACGGGAGGCAGCAGUGGGGAAUAUUGCACAAUGGGCGCAAGCCUGAUGCAGCGACGCCGCGUGGGGGAUGACGGCCUUCGGGUUGUAAACUCCUUUCGCUAGGGACGAAGCGCAAGUGACGGUACCUGGAGAAGAAGCACCGGCUAACUACGU